RNAcentral lists this ribosomal RNA (1955 nucleotides) under human gut metagenome. Its description in RNAcentral is "bacterial LSU rRNA". It matches the Rfam family "Bacterial large subunit ribosomal RNA", at positions 706 to 2642 of the family's 2925-position model. The record is from RNAcentral.
GGUAUAGACCCGAAACCCGGUGAUCUAGCCAUGGGCAGGUUGAAGGUUGGGUAACACUAACUGGAGGACCGAACCGACUAAUGUUGAAAAAUUAGCGGAUGACUUGUGGCUGGGGGUGAAAGGCCAAUCAAACCGGGAGAUAGCUGGUUCUCCCCGAAAGCUAUUUAGGUAGCGCCUCGUGAAUUCAUCUCCGGGGGUAGAGCACUGUUUCGGCAAGGGGGUCAUCCCGACUUACCAACCCGAUGCAAACUGCGAAUACCGGAGAAUGUUAUCACGGGAGACACACGGCGGGUGCUAACGUCCGUCGUGAAGAGGGAAACAACCCAGACCGCCAGCUAAGGUCCCAAAGUCAUGGUUAAGUGGGAAACGAUGUGGGAAGGCCCAGACAGCCAGGAUGUUGGCUUAGAAGCAGCCAUCAUUUAAAGAAAGCGUAAUAGCUCACUGGUCGAGUCGGCCUGCGCGGAAGAUGUAACGGGGCUAAACCAUGCACCGAAGCUGCGGCAGCGACACUAUGUGUUGUUGGGUAGGGGAGCGUUCUGUAAGCCUGUGAAGGUGGCCUGUGAGGGUUGCUGGAGGUAUCAGAAGUGCGAAUGCUGACAUAAGUAACGAUAAAGCGGGUGAAAAGCCCGCUCGCCGGAAGACCAAGGGUUCCUGUCCAACGUUAAUCGGGGCAGGGUGAGUCGACCCCUAAGGCGAGGCCGAAAGGCGUAGUCGAUGGGAAACAGGUUAAUAUUCCUGUACUUGGUGUUACUGCGAAGGGGGGACGGAGAAGGCUAUGUUGGCCGGGCGACGGUUGUCCCGGUUUAAGCGUGUAGGCUGGUUUUCCAGGCAAAUCCGGAAAACCAAGGCUGAGGCGUGAUGACGAGGCACUACGGUGCUGAAGCGACAAAUGCCCUGCUUCCAGGAAAAGCCUCUAAGCAUCAGGUAACAUCAAAUCGUACCCCAAACCGACACAGGUGGUCAGGUAGAGAAUACCAAGGCGCUUGAGAGAACUCGGGUGAAGGAACUAGGCAAAAUGGUGCCGUAACUUCGGGAGAAGGCACGCUGAUAUGUAGGUGAAGCGACUUGCUCGUGGAGCUGAAAUCAGUCGAAGAUACCAGCUGGCUGCAACUGUUUAUUAAAAACACAGCACUGUGCAAACACGAAAGUGGACGUAUACGGUGUGACGCCUGCCCGGUGCCGGAAGGUUAAUUGAUGGGGUUAGCGGUAACGCGAAGCUCUUGAUCGAAGCCCCGGUAAACGGCGGCCGUAACUAUAACGGUCCUAAGGUAGCGAAAUUCCUUGUCGGGUAAGUUCCGACCUGCACGAAUGGCGUAAUGAUGGCCAGGCUGUCUCCACCCGAGACUCAGUGAAAUUGAACUCGCUGUGAAGAUGCAGUGUACCCGCGGCAAGACGGAAAGACCCCGUGAACCUUUACUAUAGCUUGACACUGAACAUUGAGCCUUGAUGUGUAGGAUAGGUGGGAGGCUUUGAAGUGUGGACGCCAGUCUGCAUGGAGCCGACCUUGAAAUACCACCCUUUAAUGUUUGAUGUUCUAACGUUGGCCCGUAAUCCGGGUUGCGGACAGUGUCUGGUGGGUAGUUUGACUGGGGCGGUCUCCUCCUAAAGAGUAACGGAGGAGCACGAAGGUUGGCUAAUCCUGGUCGGACAUCAGGAGGUUAGUGCAAUGGCAUAAGCCAGCUUGACUGCGAGCGUGACGGCGCGAGCAGGUGCGAAAGCAGGUCAUAGUGAUCCGGUGGUUCUGAAUGGAAGGGCCAUCGCUCAACGGAUAAAAGGUACUCCGGGGAUAACAGGCUGAUACCGCCCAAGAGUUCAUAUCGACGGCGGUGUUUGGCACCUCGAUGUCGGCUCAUCACAUCCUGGGGCUGAAGUAGGUCCCAAGGGUAUGGCUGUUCGCCAUUUAAAGUGGUACGCGAGCUGGGUUUAGAACGUCGUGAGACAGUUCGGUCCCUAUC